GAUGGAGAACGUAGCGAAAUGCGAUAAGUAGUGUGAAUUGCAGAAUUCAGUGAAUCAUCGAAUCUUUGAACGCACAUUGCGCCCCUUGGUAUUCCAUGGGGCAUGCCUGUUCGAGCGUCAUUUGUACCUUCAAGCUUUGCUUGGUGUUGGGUGUUUGUCUCGCCUUUGCGUGUAGACUCGCCUUAAAAUAAUUGGCAGCCGGCGUAUUGAUUUCGGAGCGCAGUACAUCUCGCGCUUUGCACUCAUAACGACAGCGUCCAAAAGUACAUUUUACACUCUUGACCUCGGAUCAGGUAGGGAUACCCGCUGAACUUAAGCAUAUCAAUAAGCGGAGGA
This 336-nucleotide unclassified non-coding RNA is filed under the name soil metagenome. RNAcentral's name for it is "partial contains 5.8S ribosomal RNA, internal transcribed spacer 2, and large subunit ribosomal RNA". The stretch from base 1 to 120 matches the Rfam family "5.8S ribosomal RNA", at positions 35 to 154 of the family's 154-position model. The record is from RNAcentral.